AGUGAACGCUGGCGGUACGCCUAACACAUGCAAGUCGAACGGCAGCACAGUAAGAGCUUGCUCUUACGGGUGGCGAGUGGCGGACGGGUGAGGAAUACAUCGGAAUCUACUUUUUCGUGGGGGAUAACGUAGGGAAACUUACGCUAAUACCGCAUACGACCUACGGGUGAAAGCAGGGGAUCUUCGGACCUUGCGCGAUUGAAUGAGCCGAUGUCGGAUUAGCUAGUUGGCGGGGUAAAGGCCCACCAAGGCGACGAUCCGUAGCUGGUCUGAGAGGAUGAUCAGCCACACUGGAACUGAGACGCGGUCCAGACUCCUACGGGAGGCAGCAGUGGGGAAUAUUGGACAAUGGGCGCAAGCCUGAUCCAGCCAUACCGCGUGGGUGAAGAAGGCCUUCGGGUUGUAAAGCCCUUUUGUUGGGAAAGAAAAGCAGCAGGUUAAUACCCCGCUGUUCUGACGGUACCCAAAGAAUAAGCACCGGCUAACUUCGUG
This 492-nucleotide ribosomal RNA is filed under the name uncultured bacterium. RNAcentral describes it as "partial 16S ribosomal RNA". It matches the Rfam family "Bacterial small subunit ribosomal RNA", at positions 29 to 507 of the family's 1533-position model. The record is from RNAcentral.